GCUCUAGAGAACAACAGUUAUCCAAUAUGGCGUCCGUCAAAAUUUUACGUCAAGACUGAACACAUUCUAGGUGCACGCUCGGAAACAAAAUGACUUAGGAUUGUAAAAAUUGAAGAUACAAUAUAGGAAAGGUCACGUCGCAAAAUGUCGGCCACUGAGCUGUACACAAAGGGAGCUCGGGUAUGGAUCCCAGACUCAGAGGUUGUGUGGCGGGGCGCAGAACUUUUGGAAAAUUACACCGGGCAGAAAUCGGUCAAGAUCCAGUAUGAAGAAGGAGAGGGUACCGGAAUAUUCAAAGAAUCUGUACUGGAAAUCAAAGAUAAAACCAAACUUCCACAUUUACGAAAUCCUGACAUCCUCAUCGGAGAAAACGACCUGACCUCUCUCAGUUACCUUAACGAACCAGAAGUGCUGUAUAACCUGCAGGUCAGAUUUGCAGAUAGAAACAUCAUCUACACGUACUGUGGUAUCGUGUUGGUGGCCAUCAAUCCCUACGAGGAAGUGAACAUCUACAGCAAUGACAUCAUCCAGGCUUACAGCGGACAGGACAUGGGCGCCAUGGACCCCCAUAUCUUCGCCGUCGCUGAGGAGGCCUACAAACACAUGUCAAGGUUUGACAGGAACGAGUCGAUUAUUGUUUCGGGAGAGUCAGGGGCUGGAAAAACCGUGUCAGCGAAGUACGCAAUGAGGUAUUUCGCGACUGUUGGAGGCUCGCAGGCCGAGACCAUGGUAGAGCAGAGAGUGUUAGCCUCUAACCCGAUCAUGGAGGCGAUCGGCAAUGCCAAGACGACGAGGAAUGACAACAGCAGUCGGUUCGGGAAAUACCUGGAAAUCACCUUCAACAAACAACAUGAGAUUGUCGGCGCACAUAUGAGGACAUACCUCCUAGAGAAGUCAAGAGUUGUGUUCCAAGCUUCUGAUGAACGAAAUUACCACGUGUUCUAUCAACUGUGUGCGUCCGCUAACCGACCCGAAUUUAAGAAGUUCCAGCUAAUGAGCCCUGAUGACUUUUUCUACACGAGCUGCGGACAAGCUCCGGAAAUUCAGGGAGUGAACGAUGCUGAGAAUAUGAACAAUACUUUGGACGCCCUGACGUUACUAGGUGUUGGCGAGAGACACCAGCUGAUGCUGUUACAAAUUCUGGCUGGAAUUCUACAUUUUGGAAAUGUUAAAAUUACGGAGACUGAAGGAGAAUGCUGUGAAAUUCCAGCGAAGGACAAGUCCCUGGCCACCUGCUGUUCACUACUGGGGAUAGAGGAGUCACAGAUGAGGAUGUGGCUAUGUCACAAAAAGAUUACCACUGUCAACGAGGUGCUCACUAAACCUCUCACCGCCAGCCAGGCGAGUUUUGCACAGGACGCCCUGGCCAAGCAUAUCUACGCCGAGGUGUUCACAUGGAUUGUAAACAAGAUCAACAUCACGCUGCACAGCGUCACCAAGCAGCACAAGUUUAUUGGUGUUCUUGACAUUUACGGAUUUGAAACCUUUGAAAUCAACAGUUUUGAGCAGUUUUGUAUUAAUUAUGCCAAUGAGAAACUUCAACAGAUUUUUAACAGCCACGUGUUCAAACUGGAGCAGGAGGAGUAUGUACGGGAGGGUAUCGAGUGGUCGUUUAUUGAUUUCUAUGACAACCAGCCCUGUAUUGAUCUGAUCGAAAGUAAGCUGGGAAUCCUGGAUCUGUUGGAUGAGGAAUGUAAGAUGCCACGUGGGUCUGACGCUAACUGGUGUCAGAAGUUGUACAGUAAACACCUUGGUAAAGCUAAACACUUCGACAAACCACGCAUGUCUAACAUAGCGUUCAUCAUCGCCCACUUCGCCGACAAAGUCCAGUACUUUGCUGACGGAUUCCUGGAGAAAAACCGAGACACAGUAUUAGAGGAACACAUCAAUAUUCUCAAAGCCAGUGAGUUCGAACUGGUAGCUGAGCUGUUUGAUCAUAAAGACCCGAAUUUAAAAAAGCCUAGAUCAGGAUCCGCCGCGACCCAUCCCACACGUUCAGUACCAAAGACAGGGGCCAAGUCGAACCGCAGCACGGUCGGAUCACAGCAACAACAGAAGGCAACAGUGGGAGAUCAGUUCCGAGACUCCCUGAAGAUGUUGAUGGAGACCCUGAAUGCCACGACACCUCAUUACAUCCGCUGUAUCAAACCUAACGAUAAUAAAGAGGCCUUCACGUUUGAGCCUAACAGAGCAGUGGAACAACUUCGGGCCUGUGGUGUGUUGGAGACGAUACGCAUCAGUGCUGCUGGUUACCCUUCAAGGUGGACUUAUAACGAGUUCUUCCAGAGAUACCGGGUCCUGGCCAGAUCCAAGGAUAUCAAUCGGUCCAACCCCAGACAGACGUGUGAAAACAUCCUUACGAAAAUCAUACAGGAUCGAGAUAAAUACAGGUUUGGUAAAACGAAAAUCUUCUUCCGGGCCGGCCAAGUGGCGUAUCUUGAGAAGCUACGAUCAGAGAAGCUCCGAGCCUGUGGUAUCAUGAUCCAGAAACACGUUAAGGGCUGGUUAGCACGACGACGGUACAAGAAGAUCAUGCGGUCUAUAAAACUGAUACAGAAACACGGCCGAGGAGUGCUGGCGAGAAGACAUGCUAAGUUUCUACGGGAGACAAGGGCUGCCACUAAGAUCCAGAAAACAUUUAAGGGUUUCAAGGCUCGCAAAACCUUUAUGUUCAAGAAACGUGCUGUAGUAAAGCUACAGGCAUGUAUCCGAGGGUUGUUUGGAAGACGGCAGUACCAGAAACAGAUGCACGAGUACCGAGCCAUCGUCAUCCAGAAAUACAUUCGCGGCUGGUUACAGCGGCGAAGAUACCAUAAGAUCAUCCAUGGCUUCGUCUUGAUUCAGUCCCAUUACCGGCGACGCAAGGCAAGAGCCCAGCUUAAAGUUCUCAAGAUCGAGGCAAAGUCUGUGGACCAUCUCAAGGGAGUCAACAUAGGUCUGGAAAACAAGAUCAUAGAACUACAACAGAAACUGGACAACAGGAAAAAGGAAGUCCAGCAAGGGAAGGUCAAGGACGCCGAGAUCGUUAACAUGAAAACUGAGAUGGAGAAACUCCGUCAGAACAGUAACAUGGCUGAGAAAUCAACCAACCGUAUCACCGAGUUACUGAAGCUGAUAGAGGAACUCCAGGAGGAGUUAGCCAAGGAGAAGGGCGAGAAACAGGACCUGUUGGCGGAGAAAGACCUCACGCACAAGAAACACGCCGAGUCGACAAAGAUGUUGAUGGAUGAGAAUAUGUCCGUUAAGGAACAGUUAGACAAGGCAAACGAACAGAUUCGUAACCAGGAGAAACAGUCGGCAGACACUAGUAAGGAAAAACUGGACACCGCAAAUAAGAUCAUGAUGGCGGAGUUUGAGUCGGAGCGUGCUCACCACCAACGUCUCGUCAAGGACUAUGCACGGCUCCAACAGCGCCUAGAAAACCUCCAGGGUGAAAUGCAGGUCCUGACAAGUCCACAGGGACACAAACGCACACCCUCUGAAAUCUCCGCCAUCAGUCUCGAGUCAUAUGCCAGCUCGAUCUCGCCAGAGGAUAAGGAUGAUUUUGAGAAGGAGUCUGAUCAGGGUUAUGACACCACAGAAAAGAAGAAAAAGAAGGGUCCCGCUCCAGCCCCACCCUUUAUCAGCGUCGACACCGUCGCCAACGGAACUCAUGUGGAGAAGGACGUGGACAUUGGUCUUGUCCUGAAGCUGCAGAGCCGUAUCAAGGACCUGGAGAAGGACAAGGACAACCUACAGCAGAAAGUGGACAACUUUGAGGACGGUGGGAGUCCAGCACACCGAUCCUCAGCUGUUAUCUCUGAUUCUGCAUUUGAUGCUCUCAAGAAACAGCUGGUGAACGCGGAGGAUGUAGAAAUUGUCAUUAAGUUACAAAAACGUAUCAGGGAAUUAGAAAACGCAAAAUCUAAGCUUGUCGAUGAAUUAGAUGAACGCGAGGAAGAGGACGAGAAUAUGAGUUUCAAAAUAAUGACUCCUGAAUACGCAUAUAAUAAUUUGAAGAUGCAAGAGCUAGAAAAUGAAAAUGAUAAAUUAAAACGUGAAGUAUCAAAACUGGUGGCCUCCAUCGCAGAAACGACAAACUUUGAUCAAACCGUGGAACUGACUCCUGCUGGCAAAGAGUUCUUGGAACAAGAUUUAAACACAGACCGAAUCAAAGUGUUACAAAAGCAAUUUGAAGCGAUGACAGAUGAGUUGGAGCGUCGCCGUGAAGAGUGUCUUCAGCUACGUGCCAUGAUGGCUGAACGCAGUAUUACUACGCAUGAGAUUGCCAAGCAAUCGUACGGCGGGAUAGACAGUAUUGUCAACGAGGACAACGAACUAGCCAUGGCUUACAGGACCCAGAAGGAGCUGAACAGAUUGUUGGAAAACCAGUUACAAAAGACAGAGAAAGAAGGAAAGAAAAAGGAAGAGGGAUAUAAAAAGGAGAUCCGACACUUAAAGAAAGAUAACGAUGAACAACAGAAAAUGAUAACUCAGCGUAAAAAAUCACAUAACAUCUCCCUGUCUCCGGAGGCUAGGAUCGAGGCUACGAUGCAGCAUGAGAUCACCCGACUCACGUCGGAGAAUCUGGAUCUACGAGAGACGAUAGAAAAGAACUCUGACCAAACGCGAAAGCUGAAGAAAAUGCUGAAGGUGUAUGCCAGGCGUCUGAAGGAUGGCGAGGCUGCCGAGAUUGCUGCAGAACUGGAGCAGGAUGACGCCAAAGCAAGCGUGGACAACGUCGCAACAAUCAAACACAGGGAACGCAUGUACAUGGGCAUGCUGGAGUAUAAAAAGGAAGACGAAAACGUACUCAUCAAAAACCUUAUCAUGGACCUGAAGCCCAAAGUUGCCGGCGGGUUGUUACCCGGUCUACCUGCCUAUAUACUGUUCAUGUGUGUACGACACACAGACUAUAUCAACGACGACGAAAAGGUCCGCGCCCUCCUCACCAACUCCAUCAACAGUGUGAGGAAGUGUGUCAAGAAACAUCAUGGUGACCUUGACCGUGUGACCUUGUGGCUGGCCAAUACCUGUCGUCUGCUACACACACUCAAACAGUACAGCGGGGAGAAGGCGUUCCAGUCGGACAACAACACACGUCAGAACGAACACUGCCUUAGGAACUUUGACCUGUCGGAAUAUCGUCAGGUGUUCAGUGACCUGGCAGUGUGGAUCUACCAGACCUUAAUAAAACUGAUGGAGGAAACGAUACAGCCCAUGAUUGUGGCUGCGGUGCUAGAACACGAGGCUAUUGCGGGUCUCACGGCCAGUAAACCGUCGGGGAUGCGAGGACGAUCGUCCAGUACUGCCACCGAUCCAGACAAUGUAAAGGAACUCUCCCUCGACUCUCUCAUGAAGGCUAUGAACAAGUACAGUCAAGUAUUAACUCAGCAUGCUGUUGAUCCGGAGCUUGUUAAGCAGAUCUUCAGACAGUUGUACUACUUUAUAUGUGCGGGCGCCCUUAACAACCUGUUGCUAAGGAAGGAUAUGUGUAACUGGUCCAAGGGCAUGCAGAUCCGGUACAACCUUAGUCACCUGGAGCAGUGGCUACGCGACAACAAACUACACGAAGUGGGCGCUCAGGUUACCAUGGAACCUAUCAUCCAGGCGUCCCAGCUCCUACAGGCCAGAAAAACCGUCGCCGACGUCGACAGUAUCUGUGAGAUGUGUUCCAAACUCACAACCGCACAGAUUGUGAAGAUCCUGAACCUCUACACUCCAGUAGAUGAAUUCGAGGAACGUGUGCCAAUUCCAUUCAUCCGUGAAAUUCAGAAAAAGUUGAAAAAUCGACCACAAGAAUCGGACAAUACACUCCUUAUGGACACCAAAUUCUCGUACCCAGUUACAUUCCCAUUCAACCCGUCAAGCAUCACCAUGGAAACCGUGGAAGUUCCUCAAUCACUCCAUCUAGGUUUCCUGACUCGCGUGUGAUUUUAGUCAACUUAGUCUCUUAAUCUAAUUUAUUGGACAGAUUUGUCAUACGUUUAUGUUUUAUUUUAUGUGUACCGUUUCGUAGGUUAGAAAAACCGACACUUCCUGUGAAAGUGUUUUCUUCCUUAUUUUUUGUUUGUUAUCAUGUAGAAAUUAAGGAUACAUUUCAAGAAAAGUCCUUAAAAAUCAGUAGAAAAUACAUUCAUCCUUUUGAAAUCUGUUUACUGUGAAAUCUGACUUUACUGACAUCAAAAGAAGGACAAGGGAACACUUAGUUCCUGGUUUAAAUCAAUGUCGUAUUUUUCCACUUCUUACAGUUUGAAUCUGAGGCUGAUUAAUUUAACCCACUCACCCCUGAAGACACAUGUGAACUCUUCCAUUCAAAGGUUGGAAUAGUUCAUUAUGAAAUUAUAGGGGUGAAUGAGUUGAAUCCCAGAACAUAAAUAUUUGAGUUUUAAUCCGAGUAAUUAUGGAAAUAUCCCUGAUUUAAAUUUUACGUAAAUGUGCCAUUGAGUCAACUCAUCUUGAUCAAACAAAUUUAUUCUGGUUUUCACAGGUUUCUGUAUACACAUUUAGUUUGUCUUAGGCAGGAAACACCGGAAAAUGUAAAUAAACAUUUGCCCUGUUAUGUUAUUGGGUUAUUGUUAAACAUCCUUGCUUUAUAGAAUAGAAAUUGGCAUUAUCUUACGAAAGUGGUAAAUACAAUAGGAUGUUCCAUACUACUGUUCUAUAAUUUGUUAGCUGUACAAUUUCUUGACUUUGUCCAUAAACGUUAUAGUUGCUGUCGUGUCAAACAGUUCUACGUUAUGUUUUAAAUAUAUGUACAUAAAAUGUUGUUCUACAUGUACGGAAAUUAAAAUAUAUAAUACACGUAAAAUCUAUGUUGAUGUUAAAUUAUUACUGUUAUAUUGAGGACUGUUCCAAAAAGAGAUAUUGACGGGGAAGGGAGGCUCUUUCAGAACCAUUAGACCCGGCUACACAUAAAUAUCAAAAGUAUUUACUGCCUCCCUCCUACCUGUAUAUGUUCAUAUCUGAAGUAGCCUUGUAAGUGCUGUACAGUGCUGACCCGUAAUAAAAACUGUAGUUCCUUACCGUAUUUGCUGUAAUGAGCAUAUUUCCUCUUAUAUAUGUCCCCUUCCUUUUUUGGGUACCUUGAAAUAAUGUCGGUGCCCCUUCCCCAAACACAGCUUCCAUUCUGGUCCUUUGCUGUUAAAGAAAAUUGUACUAUAUGCACUUUAUAUCAGAUAAUUCAGUCUCACAAUCUGACAAGACCGUUUUCAAAAAAAAAAAUAUGGAAAAAUCUAUUUUGGAAUUAUUGCUGAGAUAUGUGUGACAGUCAUGUAACACUGAGAAGCACCUGCCACAAUCUGUGUUUAUUAUCGUAAUAAGUGCCCCCUCCUGUCAAUUUUUCCAGCACCCUUAUUGCUAAUUAUGGCAAAUAUGGUAAGCAAAAUCAUUAAAUCUCUUUGUAUGAUAUUACAGUGUAAUUAUUUAUCUGGAUCAGUAACAUGUUUGACAGGAGCAGGGCUUCUUUUUCUAUACAUAUAGUAAACAUUUAUAGCCAUGUACGAUUGUAUAUAAGGUACAAGGGAUCUCAAACUAAAGUGAUUCUAGGAAAUGUUUAUGAUAAUGUUUUACAUAUACCACUACAUAAUGUAUACUUGCUAAUUUUUGUGAGUAUUAGAAUAACAAGUUGUCAUCUAAUACAGUUUUUCACAAGUUUUUAAUUUGAAACGGGUACAAAUACAUGUGCUAAUUUCAUUAUCAGGCUCACAAGGUUUUUCAAGUUCAUACAUUUUUGAAUUGUAACACAUUUGCAAAGUAAGCGAAAAUUAACUUCUAACAAAAAUAGCAAAUAUUUAGUAUUGAAGUGGAAAUAUAACAGAGGUAUAUACAUGUAUCUGGAGUAUAACGGCCUUUUCUGAAUAUCAAAACACUGUGUUUCUCAACGUGCACUCUUUACAUGUGGUGUUGCUAUAUCUUGGGUUGUGAAGUUUUCUUGGAUAAGCUCCAAUGUGAUGAGUGAUUUACAUGCAGUGAGAUAUUUGAAAUGUAACUGAAAAAUGAUGUUAAUUCAUUGUAUGAAUUUUGAUUUCGUCCAUCUAUUAAUUAAUUAUGUUAAUUGUUAAUAAUUCAUUAGUAUAUUAAUGAUGGUUUUAAACUGUCAUGUUGUCAAAUUAUCAACUGGUAUACAUCCAUGCUUUUCACUGAUCAAAACUUACAUUAAGUCUCAGUUGUCUCCCCUUAAUUGUUUCUCGUGGCAUUUGUGCUAUCGGAAGUUCACCAUGUUGUAUUUUCUUAAUAAAACAAAUUAUUAAAGACAAACUAGAUCGAUUUUGGUAAAAUUAACUUCCAAUAUGCAGUGUCUUAGAAGACAGUUUGGUCUCGUUUCUUUCUCUAUAACUCAUUCGCCCCUGAAGACACAUUUAAACCCUUCCAGUUCAAAGAUUGGAAUAAUAGUUCAUUAUGAAAUUUCAGGGGGGAAUGAGUUAAAAAAAUGUCCAAAAGCAAUCAAAAAGUUUUACAGUCCUGUAAUUUCACUGGGAACAAAGUAGGCAUGCAGGAUUACCAUGACUCAGGUGUAAGAAAUUUUCGCCACUGUUUAAUUUUUGCAAUUUUUGUGCUUCGCAAUGAGAGCGAAUUUUUCAUAACCGUGAAUACAGCAUACCAUAUAUAAUUGUUACAUUACAUAAAGGUGAAAUUCACACUGAGCGAGCGUGGAUUUUACCAGUAAAGGGCAAAUAUUUGUCUUGGCGAAAAUUUUCCUGUAACAGUACAUAUUAACUUAAUAAACAUGCGUUCUGUAGCUGUGAUAAUUAUCAGGGGAAGUGAUAUUGAUGCUGUGUGCUUUGUUUUGGAUCAAACCAACAAUCCCAGACUUCCUAGUCGGAAGUUCUACCACUGAGCUAAAGGGAAAUUCCCUCUAGCUUGAAGCUAGAAAGCGACCGUUAUCCUAUGUACAAUUAAAACCUGCCAAACUACUCCCCCUUUUUAAAUGUGUUCGUCAUCGGUUCUAACUCCCUGUCACCACAGGGAGGGACACGGACAACAUUUGAACCAGGAAGAGAAUAGUGUGCUUCCACCGGGGAUGGAAUCCACAAUCUCUAGGUUCCUAGUCGGACACUCUACCACGGAGCUAAAGGGAAAUUCCCUCUAGCGUGAAGCUAGGAGACUGUAAUUCUAGGUACAAUUAAAAUCUGCCAUAGUUGAAUACUACAAUUUUCCUCACACCUAUUUCCCCUCUGUUAGAUAUUCAUGAUGUGUUUGUGUGUCUGUUUUAGUUUGUUUACAAUUAGUCAAACGGACACUGCCUACAAUAUGAUUAUCAAGGGAGUUAAAAUAAUUCGAUGUACAAGGGAAAUUAAUGUUGAUUUAUUCCGAUAUGAAACAUACCAUGUAUUGUUAUACAAGUGCUGACAUCAGACUUUACUUUUUACAAAUAUAUAUGUAUAAAGUUAAGCAUUUUAUUUUGGCUUUUGAUAGUUAUUUUUGUCAAUUAAUUGCUGUUGAGGUGUAUUUUUUAUACAGAAGAAAUUCUCCAUGUAACACAAAACACUUUAGGAUAAAUAAAGUAAACAAAUGAAAUUUAUCCUUUGCAUUCCAAAAAUGUUCACUUAAAAAGAAAAAAAAAGGGGGGGGGGGGUCAUGCUGAGUAUUGAUCACUUGUUCAGUUUACACAGGAAUAGUUGUUUGUAUGAUUUAUGAUGCAGUGAAUAUUAAAUAAAUUCCUUGUAAAUAAGUACAAAAAUGUAAAUAAAUACCGAAAUUUUAUAAAAUCUACAAAACACAGCAAUGAAUUAUAUUUAAGUUUCAAGUACCCUAGUAUGACCUUUUAUUCAUAUCUAAGCAGAAAAUGGUGAAAACUCAUUUUUUGAAAACUAUGGCUACAGUUUAGAAAUCUACAAACUUUUUCCAUUUUACAAGGUUUAAACUUACUUAAUGUUUAUGGAGGCAUGAUAAAUAUUUAUGUAUCCCAUUCUUGGCUUAAUUUAUUUUUUAUAUAUCUUUUUAUAACUUUGCACUAUUUGCAUUUUCUAUCGCUUCUGUGAAGACUUAAUUAUUUUGGUAUCAAAUUAUUUUGAUAUGAAUGUAAAUGAUUGUUGAUUUUCAAAUGGACCAACCAUAAAUUUAAAACAGGAUGUCUUCCACUAAUUAAGUGGCAUUAUCAAAAUAACUUGUGAAUUGUUUUUUGCGCUAUAUAGAUGUCUUGAUAGUUCUAUUACAUUGUAAAACCUGUUUAAAUUGAACCCCACUGACACCUGUCUAAACUGAACUCCACUGAAACCUGUCUAAAAUGAACCCCACUGACACCUGUCUAAACUGAACUCCACUGAAACCUGUCUAAACUGAACCCUACUGACACCUGUCUAAACUGAACUCCACUGAAAUCUGUCUAAACUGAACUCCACUGAAACCUUUCAAAAUUGAACCCAACAGGACCGUGAUGAAACUGAAUUCCAUUCAUAAAAGAAACGUUUAUUGAUACAACAGGUUUACAUAUAUCUAUACAUCAGAACCAAUUAAGCUGAAAGUUUCCAGAUUACAAAGUUUCAAAUAAGUUGAAACAUACAAAAUGUACUAACUGAAUUAAAGGUCUGGGCCCGUAUUCAUGAUCAAACUCAGAUUCUAUAUGCUUACGUCCCAUUUCUUGUUCCGGUAAUAAAUAAAUUCAAACUUAAUAUUUGGUCUAUGAUUUGGGAGAAUUUUGGAAACAUUUCGAACUGAUAACCGUUUAAAUAACUUUUUUAUCGUUUCAAACGAUUUAAGCGAGUUAUAAGACAGUUGGGUUGAGCACAGACCCUGGUUGGUUUGUAAAGGUUUUUAGAUAGCAACGUUCAGUUUAGGUUGAAAGGUAGAUGCAUACCUAGUUGAAGGUCUGUUUAUACAGUUUCCAGAUUAGAAAGGGCCAAUUUUGGUAGAAGUGUAGUAAUGGACCUGUUUUGAAGGUCUGGUUUAAAAACAUUUCCAGUUCACACUUGUUCAGUUAAGGUAGAAAUGUACAGACUGAAUUGAAAGUCUGGCUUAUACAUAGAAAUGGAAAUGUUAGGACCUGGUCGAAGGUCUUUAUACACAGGUUUUGAAUGACAGAUUCAUGUUUUAUAAAACAGUAUGCACCUACCUAGAUUAGGUCUAUGUAUACAGGGUGUCAAAUUACACAGGGUUCAGUUUAUAUAGGUAACUUACUGUAGUGGGGAGUCUCAAUGCUGUUAGGGUUGUUUAACACUAGUUCACACAUUGCAAUAGUUCUAUAGAAAAAGAAUAUAAAUGUUUACCAUAUAUGUCCUGUAGUAAGCCCAGGGGACCAACACGUAAUCCAUGAUUCAAUGUUUGGGACAGGCUUAUUACAGGAUAGUUAAAUAGCAUAUGUUGGUAUUCUGAACUGCAAUAGAUAUAUGGGUGGGCUUAUUACCAGGCAUGGGCUUAUUGCCGGAUUGAUAUGGUGUUUAUAUCAUCGUUUAUAUAUGAAUUACAAGUUUAAAUAUUCAUGACAUCACAUCACAAUUUGUUUGUAAAUUAUUUUUUGUAGGAAAGUCAUUUGUAAUUAAUAGUUUUAUUUUUAAUUAUCGUGAAUCUGGCUUGUGUUUGAAUGCUUCAGAUUACCUUCAGAUUACCAGCAUCCUGUGUUUGGAGGCCUAUUAUAAAUAUUAUAACUGUUGCUUGACAUUGAUGUUAUCACUGAACAAUGGGUCAGAGAUAAAUAAAUUAGUGUGUCUUUGUUAUGAACAGAGAAAGAUGUCUUGCCAAGUACUCAUUUUUCAUGUUAUGAGAUCCACCGAUUCUUUAAAAAAAGAUCCACCAAAUUGUAUCAGAUUUCUUUUUGAUUUUUUUUCCAUUCAGUUCUAUUGAGGAAAGAUUUUUUUUGGACUUUGUGAUUUUACCCUUCUAAUAAUUGAUUUGGUAAGUAUUUCAUUGCAUGUCUAUAAUAAAUGUAAAUUUCAAUGAUUGCUUGUUAGGUGCAUUAUGUACUGUAAAAUAGCGUAGGGGACAGGCCCGAGGGGAUGUCUACAUUGUUGAAAUAUGUGCCACAAUUUCUAGUAUAGGUUGCUUUGCAUCUAAAUAAGGGUUGCACAAAGUUUUGUGGAAAUGGAUCAUCUAAAAAAGGUCUAAUGUAAAAAAGGAUUGUCUCAAAAUGGCCCUUCUCCUGUAUAAGGUCGGUAGACAAAGUAAAUGGAUGACAUAAAGAAGGGUUGUCUCAAAAUGGCUUAUAUAGAAAGAUGAUCGUCUCAAAAUGGCUUAUAUAGAAAGAUGGUUGUCUAAAAAUUAUUAUAACCCCUUACAAUGUGUUUAGAGAUAUACUUGGAUGAAUGUAAUAGUUUUACAUUAAUACAGCACAUUAGUUAGGAACCCUCCGUUUGUUGACGUGUCUCUCUGUUGUGGGGAACGCUUGUUGAGUUUUCUCUCUGUAUCAUUCCAUGUGAUAGCUGGAACGUUUACUAUUAAAUACAGUAUGUGAUCAGACGUA
RNAcentral lists this unclassified non-coding RNA (12376 nucleotides) under Mizuhopecten yessoensis (Yesso scallop). The record is from RNAcentral. Lineage: Eukaryota; Metazoa; Mollusca; Bivalvia; Pectinida; Pectinidae.